AGUGAACGCUGGCGGUAUGCCUAAUACAUGCAAGUCGAACGGACGCACAGUAAGAUCUUGCUUUUACGGGUGGCGGCUGGCGGACGGGUGAGGCGUACAUCGGCAUCUACUUUUUCGGGGGGGAUUACGUAAGGAAACUGAUGCUACUAGCGCAUACUACCUACGGGUGAAAUCAGUAGAUCAUCGGACCUUUCCCAAUUCUAUUAGCUGGAGCCGGGCCGGAUUAGCUAGUUGGUAAGGUAACGGCUUACCAAGGCAACGAUCCGUAGCUGACCUGAGAGGGUGAUCGGCCACACUGGAACUGAGACACGGUCCAGACUCCUACGGGAGGCAGCAGUAGGGAAUAUUCCACAAUGGGCGCAAGCCUGACGGAGCCACACCGCGUGAGUGAAGAAGGCCUUCGGAUCGUAAAGCUCUUUUGUUGGGAAAGAAAAGCCGUGUAAGAAUACGUCGAUGUUCUGACGGUACCCAAACAAAAAGCCCCGGCUAACUUCGUG
Molecule: ribosomal RNA, 497 nt
Filed under: uncultured bacterium
Lineage: Bacteria
Description: partial 16S ribosomal RNA
Rfam family: Bacterial small subunit ribosomal RNA
Source: RNAcentral